GCAGGAUGGACGCGUUGGCUGUCAUGAUGUAGGACCUCCUGACCUAGAACCAUGCCCGGCGCAGGGAGAACAACGAGCUUAUGGACCGGGUGCGGGGGCUGCUGUGCGAGAAAGCCUACCUGCUGGCCCGGGAGCGUUCGCUGGCCCACCUGGUGGCUUUCCCUAGACGUUUAACGGCGACUCCGCCCGGCCUCCCGACUUUUUGAUGCAGGCGUUCUCUUACAUGACUUUCUUCGAGGCUAGAUUCUCGAAAGACAUCCUGAAGGUGGCUUUCUUAAUUAGCUGCCUCACCGAGUGGCGGAGCAGUUCGUAGUCCCCUACAUCGAGAGGGAGAGCCCCGUCCUGGCUCAGUACUAGGGCUUCGUGGACGCGCUGUAGCGGGCCUUGGCCGUUGUGGGUAGGAAACAGUCGGGCCGGAUCCCCGGUGUCUGGGGAGCGGCUGCGGCCCGGGCCCGCGCGAGCCACUUCGCUCCUACAAGCCCGGCUCACUAGUUCCAAGCUGCUGGACUUUGACCCUCGCUGGGAAGCUUGAUCGCCGCCUGUUCUCGCCAAUCUCUGCCUUUGCACUGCCCAGCAACCCGGUCACUGCCCAGGACCUGUUAAAAGUGGAAUGGACCUCCCAGAAUCACGCCGCUGCCACCGCCGUUUCUAGAGACGGCUUUUGGCCACCUUUGAGAAUCAGGGUCAAACUUGGAAGGGCCUGCAUUUGUCACACCUCCUCGGACACUAAUUUGGAUAGUUCAGGCCCAGAGACAGCUUCCCGGAACCUUCUGGAUUUCAGCUUUGGCAAGCUUCCUCUGUUUCUGAGCCACCUCCAUCACCUGGGGUAC
RNAcentral lists this long non-coding RNA (830 nucleotides) under Pan troglodytes (chimpanzee). RNAcentral describes it as "lincRNA". The record is from RNAcentral. Lineage: Eukaryota; Metazoa; Chordata; Mammalia; Primates; Hominidae.